This 320-nucleotide ribosomal RNA is filed under the name uncultured bacterium. Its description in RNAcentral is "bacterial SSU rRNA". It matches the Rfam family "Bacterial small subunit ribosomal RNA", at positions 28 to 339 of the family's 1533-position model. The record is from RNAcentral.
GACGAACGCUGGCGGCGUGCCUAACACAUGCAAGUCGAACGUAGAUACUGAAUUUCGGUUUGGUAUCUUAGUGGCGCACGGGUGAGUAACGCGUGAACAACUUGACCUUUAGAGGGGGAUAACAGCGAGAAAUCGGUGCUAAUACCGCAUGAGACCACAAUUCCACAUGGAGAAGGGGUCAAAGGAGCAAUCCGCUGAGGGAGAGGUUCGCGUCCCAUUAGGUAGUUGGCGGGAAAAAUACAGCCCCACCAAGCCGACGAUGGGUAGCCGAGCUGAGAGGCUGAUCGGCCACACUGGAACUGAGACACGGUCCAGACUCC